This 2336-nucleotide long non-coding RNA is filed under the name Homo sapiens (human). Its description in RNAcentral is "HSALNT0201632". Lineage: Eukaryota; Metazoa; Chordata; Mammalia; Primates; Hominidae. The record is from RNAcentral.
CCAAGAGUCUGAGACCAGCCUGGGCAACAUGGCAAAACCAUGUCUCUACAAAAAAUUAAAAAUGAGCCGAGUGGGGUGGCUACUCCACGUAGUCUCAGUUACUCAGGAGGCUGAGGUGGGAGGAUCAUUUGAGCCCAGGAGGUGAAUGCUGCAGUGAGCCAAGAUCGCACCACUGCACUCCAGCCUGAGUGACAGAGAGAGACCCUGUCUCAAAAAAAAAUUAAAAAAAAAUUUUUUUUUAAAUUGUAUUUGCUCUUACAGGCCCAAGAGGCAGCAGCAAAGGUCAGCAUCUCCACCACCCCAUCAGGUCUUGCCCAUGUUGACCCAGGUGCUGGGACAGGAGGCACACACUGAACUUACUGCUCCCGUUGACUUCUCAUCUGGUUCCAGGCUUUGAAGAGGGUCAGAAGGAUGGAAGACUUGGCCCCUCCUCUCUAGUAGUGUACACCAUGCCUGAGGAGACCACAUAUCAACAUGGAACAGCCCCGGUUAGGGCACAAGGGCGCUGGGGCCUGGACAGUCAUGCCAUGGGAGCUCAGUGGGAGGCUGGACUUAGGCUGAGGUGCGUGGGGAGAGCUUCCUGGACAGCUGGGAUCUAAGGAUGCUUAAAUCAUGGACAGGAAAGCAGCUGCAGCCUAACGAAGAGCAGGGGUGUUAGGAGGCUUCCCUAAAGUUCUGUGACCCUGUAGAACUGUUGCCACUGCUAUGGUCACUGCUGCAACUACAAGCACUGCAUCUGGCAUGGGAGCUUGAUGGACCAGAGCACAUGCAAAGAGGGCAUCGGAAAUCCCAGAAGGGUAUGCGGGACCUUGUACCCUGUGGGAUUCCCAUGCUUACUUCAGGCAAACAGUAAGCCAGUAAGUGGAUGGCUGGCAGAGCUUCCCCCAGACUCUGAGGCUCUCAAACCCAUCUUUCGUGCAGAGAGAAUUGUGUGGUUAUCAUCCCCAGAACUCACCUGCUGAGUAAUUCGAUGCGAGUGAUUUGAUGUUCAGUCCCUCCUAGCAGGAGGCAGACCAGCAGGGAGUUACAGUUAACACUAACUGGGCAUGGCUAUUGAGGCAGGAGAGUAGGGUCUGGAGUCAGGCUGGUCACAGGCCAAGUCUUCAUUUGCAGAGGAGUAUAACUUUGUAAGUUCACUUCAGCCUCUGAUUGGUCACUUUCUGCAAUCAAUCAGACAUUUGCAUAGGGUGUAACUUUGUAUCUUCACUUCAGCCUCUGAUUAGUUGCUUUCUGCAAUCAAUCAGACUGAUCGUGGGCCACUAUUUCAUUUACAUAGGGUGUAAACCAAGUAACCAAUGGAAAACCUCUAGAGGGUAUUUAAACCCCAGAAAAUUCUGUAACCAAAGCUCUUGAGCUGCUUGCUCGAGCCCCCUCCCACUCUGUGUCGCGUACUUUUGUUUCAAUAAAUCUGUGCUUUUCUUUUGUUGCUUUGUUUGUGCUUUUUGUCCAAUUCUUUGUUCAAAAUGCAAAGAACCUAGACAGUUAUGACUUUUUGUUUUCAUUGUCCUUUUUCCAAAAUUGUAUCUGAGGGGAGACUUCCUGGGCUCUGUUAAGAUCAAGCACAUCUGCCUUCAGGGAUGAUGGGCUUGAGGCAAAUACUCAAAGCCACCUGAGGGUCCUCUUGUCCACUGUGUCUAUUCCAUCAAGGAGCACACAUUUGGAGCUGGGGAAGAGCAUGGUCCAUCUUGGUGUCAGAGAGGAGGCUACUGUCCUGGCUGAACCAGAGGGAUUGCCAAGAGAACAGGAAAAAUCGAGCCUAUGGCAUGAAAGGGCAGCUGUGGUGAACUGUUUGCGCAGACCAAUGUGUCAGUAGUGUCUACCUGGGUCAAAAGACACCUCUGGUCUUUCUUUAACCUGUCUCCUUGCCUUCAGGAUGCUACCUCUACCCAAAUGCUGCUGCCCCUGAUAUCUUCCUAAGAACAGAUCUAAUCAUGUCACCAUUCUGCCAGCACCCCGGGAAGGCUCAGGGUCACAUAUCAAAACAAGUUCAGGACUUCUAGCAUUAUGGCAGAUGGCCUUCCCAUGAAAAAAAAACAUAGAAAUGUUGGGUAAACGAUAACAACAAAAGUUUUUUUUAAUGUGUGCUGUCUUUAAACAAAAUAAAAGGAAAUCCUCACGUGGUAGAAAUGGAAGAGAGAAACCACAGCCAAAGCAGUAAGUAUAAGCUGGAAACCUAGAGCCCAUGGAAAUUGCAGAGGAGCCAAAUUUAGGCUCUAGAGACUGGGCUGAAAUUAAAGCACCUGUGUGAGAAUAGGACAUGUGGCCUUAGGCUUGCUUGGAGGAGAGAAAAUGGUUUUUUCAUUUGUUUGUUUUAAGACGGAGUCUCGCACUGUUGC